GACGAACGCUGGCGGCGUGCUUAACACAUGCAAGUCGAGCGGUAAGGCCCCUUUUGGGGGGUACACGAGCGGCGAACGGGUGAGUAACACGUGGGUGACCUGCCUUCAGCUCUGGGAUAAGCCUGGGAAACUGGGUCUAAUACCGGAUAUGACCUUUGCCUGCAUGGGUGGGGGUGGAAAGAUUUGUUUUGGCUGGGGAUGGGCCUGCGGUCUAUCAGCUUGUUGGUGGGGUGAUGGCCACCAAGGCGACGACGGGUAGCCGGCCUGAGAGGGCGACCGGCCACACUGGGACUGAGACACGGCCCAGACUCCUACGGGAGGUAGCAGUGGGGAAUAUUGCGCAAUGGGCGGAAGCCUGACGCAGCGACGCCGCGUGGGGAUGACGGCCU
Molecule: ribosomal RNA, 389 nt
Filed under: uncultured bacterium
Lineage: Bacteria
Description: bacterial SSU rRNA
Rfam family: Bacterial small subunit ribosomal RNA
Source: RNAcentral